Anas platyrhynchos (mallard) is the source of this 10111-nucleotide non-coding RNA. The record is from RefSeq and is a predicted model, not a curated record. NCBI's taxonomy places the organism in Eukaryota, Metazoa, Chordata, Aves, Anseriformes, Anatidae.
GUGACUUUCCUUAAUGCUCAAGUCAGGCUGGUAUCAGUGAAGACUAAGAGGCCAUGAGAUUAGGGUUUCAGGUGCACCAAAUUUAAUCCAGGACAGCCAAUUUUCUGUAGGUUCCUAGGAGCUGCUGUUUCCCUGCUAAGUAACCAGUGGGAAGGGACAGGCAGCUGUUUGUACCUGCAGUGCUGAUCUUUUGGAGUGUCUCAGCUUUGUACCUGCUCUGCAUUUCCACCUGAACACACCUUUUCUCUCCUGGUUAAAGAGGAAACUCUGCCCCGUCCCUACCAUGGGUGUCUGAACUCAUGAGGGAUCAGGCCAACCUGUCUCCUGCUUACAGGAACACAGAGGAUCAAGAUGAGCUGACUGCUUCCCUGCACCAUCCUCCUCUCAGCCAGAACCUGUGGAGGUCUUACAGAAAAUCUGCUAUGAGAGCAGCAUGAAGAUGCUUCUGCUGGUAUUCCACAGGAUGUGGGCAGCACAUCAGCAGGAGGCACUGCUUUAUGACUGCGCUUGCUGCAGGCAAUUCCAGCGAGUCAGGGCCUCGGUUGGAGCUGACUGUACAGAGCUUGCCAAAGCUGCUGAAAGGGGAAGCAGGCAGCAGGGGAAAAGGGCUUUCCCCCUCUGUUAUCUCAAGUACAAUCCCCACGUCGCCUUGCACCGCAUUGCUCAUACUUCACCCAAGAGUGCCUCAUCCUUGUCUUCUGGCAGGGGAGGUGGGAGAGAAACGACCUGGUUGUGCUAAAGCCAGCCUCCCUGACGUGUGUUUUCUGGCAGAACUGUUUGAAUCCCUUUCUGAUAGGAUUGCUGCCUUCGUGCUGGUGAGAGAGGAGUCCUGUCACGGGGCAGUCACUGCACGGGUAUUGUUGGACUCAGUGAUCAUGGGUGGACUUGGUCUUGAAAGUCUCCAACCUGAAUGAGUCAUGGUCACAGAAUGGAAAAGCACUCGGAAUGCUGUCAGGAUUGCUGUUUUGUGCUGAAGUUAACAGGGAGGUGUGUUAUUCCUGCUUCUUGUGCAUAUCCAGAUAGCAUCAGUAAAGCUGGGUCUAAUCCCUACACAGGCUACAGGAAAACUGUUGCUCAGGACACCAUGGGUAACCUUGGUAGGUUCUGGAGAGUGCCAACACUUAAAUUGUCACCUGCCCUGGGAAUACCAUGCCCAGACUGCUUGCACUUUCAGGAGUACAGGGGGAGUUCCUGGAAAAUUUGGAAGAGGAACCCUUGCCAGGUUACUCUGGUGUGGGGCCAGCAGGUCUGCUGCCCAUCUGGCUGCCCCGGGGCUGCUGGAGGAAAAAUGGGGUCUCUCUACGGAAGGUGCUGUGGUGGCACGGCAGCUACUGCCCUUGUCAGCUGGAUUUUGUUUCCAUGCCACCUCCUGUGGUGGGUGGAAGCCCUGAGCAGCAGAGUUCAUCGCCUUGCUGUCUGCUCUGGAUGACUAAUGUUUACUCGCCUGCCUUUAAUCCCCGGUGUCUUUCUGUGAGUUUGGGCCAACAGCAGGGCAGGAGCAGGAGCUACAGAGAGGCUGGAGAGCACCGAGACACAGAACACAAUGCAAGACUCUCAGUAAAAAGCCCUGGCUUGUUUGCUCUAAUCAAAGUCAAUGGAUUAGAUUUAGAAGACAUUAUUGUGGUGUUUUCCAAUCCACAGCAGCUCAGUGGGCUGCUAGCUCUAAAAGUGGGUCUCUGCAGUUGAGAAUAAACUGGCUGAGAGGAAGUCCUAUACGUGCUAUGUCCAGAUCAUGCCACAAAGACUAGUAGCACAGAGACUACACUACUAGGCCAUGCUUGCAACCACUGCAAAGCUGGAUUUUUCCAGGAGUAAGCCAGAUGUCUGUCAAGGAUUACUUUAACUGUUGCUGCUGCAUUGCAUCCUCUUGUAAAUGCAUUUUUUAUCAGAGACAGCAUCUUUCACUGGAAGCAACAACAGCCCAGGACUUUACUGAAGGCGAACUUCAACUCUAGCAGGGGAUGGUGCUGAAAUGGAGCAGCUGUGCCCAGUGGUGGCACUGCUGUGGCUGUGCUGCUGAGGGGCCUGGGGUCUGCCAGGCCAGCUGUCAUUGUGCCAGGAGCCCCACACAGAGCAUAAAACUGGUUGUUUAUUCAUUUCUCCAGCGUGUGUUUGGGUAAACGACACAGUUUGUGUGCCUGAAACACCCAUAGCCAGAUGUGCUGCUUCCCCCCAGCCCUUGUGGGGAUUUGGGAUGCUAGGAGAGCCGUCCCAGCCAGCUGAGCCAAGCUGGAGGCAGCAGAUAAGGGAAUCCAGCAACUUGUCUCGGGAGGUGAGCAAGUUGCUGAGGUCUUAUUAUGAAGGAGCUUUACACAGGUUGUUUGGUAGAAGAAACCAAGACCACGUCUUCCUUCCCAGGACAAUCCCAGAGAUACAAAGCUGCUUUGCGUAUCCUCACAGCCUUCACUUUUGCUCUCUCCUUACCUCUCCUGGCUCCACGCACCCCGACAUGGGUGGCAUACCCAGUCCAAGAAGACUACGCUUUCCUGUUAGAUUAUUCUUGGCAGUCUGUAGGUUCUUUAUAACUGGUUCUCUGAGAGAGCUGAGAAAGAUCAACACGCACUAUGUCAUUUUGUCUGUGAGGCAGGAGGCAAUGGGGGGACAGCCAGGCAAAGGGGGAGAGCAGCAGACCUAUGGAAACUGAGGUCUCGUGUCAGUCUGUCUUAGGGGGCAUGUCAGCCAGAGAAUUAAGGCUUAGAACAAUACAGCAAAGUGUGGGGCUGCUGGAGUCACUGGGGUUGUGCUACUUCACGGCUAAUCUCAGCUAAUGCCAUUUUUGAGGAAGGUAGAAGAUGAAGCAAGAGCUGUGGACUCUAAGGCUUGCACAGGAACAAAUACAAUGUGUUUGUGCUGCAGGAAUGGGGCUGCAGGUCAUGCUGCACUGCCCCUAAAACCGUGUAGGUAAGGCACUAAUGCCAGUGUAGAGGUUAAAUCCUGCAGCUAAUCCCUUCAGCACACUCCCUAAUUUUACAUAGUAGGAGAGAAAGCCAGCCCAGUCCUUUUUCCAGCAGCAUCCAUGGCAUAUAAAAGCACAGUUCUUUUCCCCUGCCCAGGUAUUAUCCAAGUCACGCCCUUGCCCAGUGAAAUUUGAGAGUUCUAAGUAUGCAAAGCAGAUCCACAGCACACACACUUCUGCUAGGAAAAUCACCGGCUACCUCCAGAAACACACACAAAAAAACAAGCAGUCUACUUCUGUGACACUUUCCUUUCCAAAAUAUUCCACAGAUGUGAGUUCUUACCCCAUUGCAGCGAGGUUGGUCCCCUGGUUUUGCAGAGGGGGAAGCCAAGCUAUUGAGUGGGUCAAAUGAUGUCAUUGAGACGGCCGUCAGUAGAGUUGCUGUCUUCUGAUCCUCAGCCUUUCUGCAUCCUGUGUUUGAGCAGGCACACAAGCUAACUUCUUGGCAACAUCAGGCGAUGUAUGAAAUCAGCCUUCUACUGUCAACUUCUCCAAUAUUUCAUGGCAUAAUGAAGCUAAUUGACUCGGUAGACCUGCAAUUUCACACAUAACAACUCACACAUUACUAAGCAAACAACAGUAAUUCAGGAACCACAGUUCUCACAAGAUGAGAUCAUGUCCAUUUCGUUUCUAACACAGCAUUUCUGUUCUAUAUUUGCCUGACACCUAGGUGAAAGCCAUCUACUUGUUUUACGCCAUUUUAGCAAAGAGCUGGGAAUAACCAGUGCUGAGUUUGUAAGGGAAGGUUUUCAAGAGCAAGGGGUUUAGCCCUAAAACUUAAAUUUGCUCAUGCGGUGUAUUAAGAAUUGUCCACAAUACACUAAGAUUGAGCACAAGGCCAAGAAAACAGUUCCAUCUUCAAAGCAGAAUUGAUGUGUGGAGUUAACAUAGUGCUAACAACUCUAAUGUCAUAAGGAACGGGGUUUUCAAGAAAUUCCAAAUUCUGGAACCAGGUGAUGAUGUGGGACAUUCAAUGUUCAUUUAAAACAUAAACAUGUUCCAUGUAGUUGGUUGAAACUGUGAACUUCCAAUCUCAGAAGCUAUAUAAAAAGAAGCCAGAAAGUUUAAGUCCUAAAAGUCUUGUGAUUUAAGAUAACUUUGCGGGAAGUGUAGGAACUAUAUAAUUAGUAGUUGAGCCACUGCCAGGAUGUGAGUACUUCUCAGGCUGCUAACACGUGGUGUACACCUGACUGUCACAGCUGGAGGGGUCCAGGUGAAAAGUGGUGGUAAAAAAGUGGUGGUAAAAACUAACAGUUUGUCUGCAUGGGGAAAUGCAACACAGAGACAUCCAAAUUAGCACAAAACGGGUCCUGGAAGCAGGACGUUCAGAGGAGAUAACGAUAUGAGAGAGGAGUAUGAAGUUGCCACCAUCUUUGUCCGGGACAUAGCAAUUAAAUUUGUAGGUGCACCUAGACUGCUUAUUGCAAAGAAAGCUGUGAUUUGCAAAGUAAAAAGGUGACUUCGGUCCAUCCUGUGGAUCUAGGAAAUAGCUGUAGGCACACUCAGAGGCUGGAUCCCCCCAAAAAGCAUUUGAUCCUUCAAAUUUCUGAACCUUUGAGCAAGAUAGGCACACCUCCACCAUUUUGUGGAGCAGAUCAGCCUGGAGUGCACCCACCGCCAGUCACUGCAGCACGGAAGAGGAAUGAUAUCUCAUCGCACAGAAGUGCAACCAUCAACUAGCUGACCAUGGCCUGAACAUCCAGGGCUUGGGCCAGAUCAGCCUUCUGACAGGCCAACGAAAACUGGGUGAUAGAACAGAGAGCUGCAAGUUUGUCGUAGGAAUGAAGUUUUCCAGCACAUGAGGGAGCUUGGUGGUGUUUACCAUCAGGAGAUGAUUGGAGGCCAGUUGGACACAAGGAGUUCAGUGUCACAAGAUGAUGGAGAACUGAGCACCAUUUAUGGAGACUCUGAAAGGAAUAAACAGGAAAGCAAACGUCAGAGAGGGAAGGAAUUUGCCUUCAAAUGGAUGGCCUCCAAGGGCAUCUGCUCACAGUCUAACCACGAUAAUGAUUUAUUGUCUGCUUUGGGCUGACUUUAACCUCACUUGACUGCCAAAUGCAGAGUAUAGGCCUGCCUUGCCCUGGGGAGCUCACAGUACAAAAUACAGACUCACAGGAGAGAUGACAAGUGGGGAAUAAGCAUAGGAAAGGAGAAGAUUUUGCCAGGUAUGGAUUUUGUCAGCACUGGGAGGGAUCUUGCUCUCUUCAAACCAAAAGUGGCUUGUAAACUGAUUUUGGUGGUCUUCAGCAAGUUAUAAGCAGCUUGCUCUCAAGUUCAAAUGAGUGGGAUCAUGCAAAAGGCUUCAUCCCUCCAUCCUUGUGGACUUGAAACUGCAUUUAAAGGAAUUUCUCCCAUAUACGUGGCCAUAGCAUCAGUAAAAAUCAUCUGCAGUGCACCCAUGCACCAUGUGAGCACUUCUGACAGGUACUCGGGUACUUUCUUUGGAAGGGAAAUGUGGCAGAACUUCACUGUUAUUGGAAAGGGACGGUAAUCCGGAUCGCCUCGGCAAGGAUAUGUGGAUAGAUACGUGUGCUGGCCUCUCUGUGCUUAGUUAACCUCUUUGUGGCCAUUGCUGCAACAAGUCCUGCAUCUCAGCAUUGGAAACCAGGGGGAAAGAGGCAAUGCUGAGAGAAGGGAGAACUGAGACAGACGUGGAGCUUGUCUUGGGAGCUGUAAAACACAGGACUUCUUGUUGACAGCUGUGCCCCUGAUGUUCUUCUGUGCCAUGCCAGGAGCCUCAGUGGUAAAUGAUAACAUUUCAAGGGGAAGGUGCAUGGCUAACACCCCCUUCCAGUGAUGCUCACCCAGGAACACUUCCCUUCUGUGCAUAACCCUGAAAAAUGGAGACUACUGGAAGCGAGCUGGGAGCACGAGGGGAUCCUUGUGAUAGCUGCACCUCAGAAGAAGCCUUGAGGCCAAAGAUGGUCACCAGCACCAGUGCCUGGCAAAAAUCUCACCAUCUGAGAAUGCUGUUGGGAAUUCUCCUUCCCUAUGAAGCCAGUAAGCCUUCAGUAUCUCUGGACUUGGACUCCAGAGUGUGUUUGAACAUGACCCCAAACUUUGAAUCCAACCUCAGAAUCAGUCUGGCUCUCGGUCAAGAGGAGCAUUUUUGCAGCCAAUUUCUGCUCAGUUCCACGACCUACAUCCAGUUCUCAGCAACCCUGGAGUGAGAUCUGAAGUAACACCAUAGAUGCUGGUAUAGGUAUACAUCGCAGAGCCUGAAAUCAGAAUUUGACUCGGCUCCUCAGUGUUUAUCACAAUCCCUCCUUUCUGAAACGCCUUUUUGCCCCUGUCUUCUGGAGGCUCAUCAGGGGGUGUCUUUGCAAACAGAAUUUAUGUACUGUGGCCAGAUCUAAGCUUCAGUACUCUUUAUUCCCUCGCAUUUGCUUAUGAGCUGGAACUUCAGCAGGCUGAGAUGAGGGAACUUGCUCCCAAUUAAAAACACGCCAGUGCCCUCUUAUGUGAGAAGCCUGCACUGCUGCCUGCUGGGGAUGUCCUGCAAGACUUUCGGGGGUCCUCUUUCUCUUCAAGGCCUUGGGUUGUUCUCGUUCCAUGUGCAGUGCUCACAUUCCUCUUUGUCUCUGAUGUUCUGAAAUGAGAAUAGUUAAUUUCUGUGCUCACUGCAGGGAUGAGUUCUGGCAGAUCACGGCUCAGCUAGGCUGGUGCUUGACAUGCAGAGCAGUUCUGCAGUUUGAGAGGGAUGUAGAGUAAAACUGCAUGAAAAAUUGCUUUUUCUGUUUCCUGGCUCACUGAGAAUUUAGGAAAGAAUAUUUACUUUGAGUUGAGCCAAAGCAACAGGAGAAAAUUAAACAUGCUGUUUUAGGUUAGGGUUCUUCCCCAUUUUUUAAUUAAGAUUCAGUAGAUAGACUCCUGAAUGGAAUGCUGCUUCAAACUGAAACACCAAAACACGCUAUUUUGCAAAUAAAUUAACAUUUUGCACUUUAAAGAAAGAGAUUUUCAUCCUGAUUUCUAAAGCAAUGGGAUGAAUUCACAACAGGCAACUUCAGCAGAUACCAAUCGGCCUCGCUCGGUGCGGACAAUGUUUUGCCAGCAAAGGCCUGAAGUUCAGUGCAAAGGCAGGGUGGGCUGGGGUCAGAAUCACCGGGCAAGCAGAAAAACAACCCCAGGGAGAUGAGCAAGUCAGAGAAUGUCAGGAUAUUGAGACAAUGAACCAAGCUGUGUGUUCUUGGGAAAUGGUUGCAGUCCUCCAAGGUGGCUCGGCAGUGGGCAGAAAAGCUGUUCCUUAAGAGAGAAAUGUUGUGCUGAUAGAAGCUGUGAGUAGGAAUGACAACAGUCUGCCCAAAGAGGGAGAAAUAUUUGCUUUCCCCUUCUGGAGUCCAUUCAGCAGUGGUAAGCAGACCACUUGCAGAAUUUGCCUUAAAUUUGCUGAGCCCUUGCAGCUUUACUGCACUCUUGCUCCAUCCCCACCUUGGAAGAAAUAACCUGGUCCUGCUCUCUGCUUUCUGCCUCCAUCCCUUCUGCCUCCAUCCCUUCUCUUCAUCAACACCGUGGGUUCUGCUGUGGGUGGGCAGAUCUUAUCUUGUCCUCUCCUUGGCUAUAACUCUUGCAGCUCCAACGUGGCAGAAAAAUUGGUUGUUCUCGGGUUGUGUGUGGUUGGUGUGCUUGUUUGCUUUUGUUUGUUUGUUUUCCUUUUGUGGGUUUUUAAAAAAAGUGUCUCGUGUCUCUGUUAUUCCAUCCUUCCUCUGCAAGCCCAUGUCCUUGUGCAGAACAUGCUGCUACAGAGCUGGGGACGCGAAACCACAGAUGAGAGUAGGAAAUGAAUGUAUAAAUCAGAGCAUUACCACGGCGCCCGCUAGCAGUGCCAUACCAGACAGAGGACACUGCCUUACGUUGUCUCGCCCAUAAACCCCUUUGGAAGGGGCUUGGAUUACCAUUUGCCAUUUUGGCUUGGCCCCUGGCUCCACCUCUGCAGAAAGCUUGGCUGAGUGGCACUGCAGAAUCUGAGAGGGAGAAAGCCCGGUAGGUUUGAUGGCUGCAAGAUGAUACUCUUCCCUGCUCUCUGUCUGUUGUUUUACAGCUCCUCCAAGUAAGAAGUACACAGGAGAAAAAAAUCAAUUGGUUUCAUUUAAUAUAGUGGGGUUUCUAAACAAUCACUCAGGCUGCAAAGUGGAUCAAUCACUUCGGCCUCUUGACAGAGGAAAUACUAAAUCAAAUAUUGAUCGACUCCCCCAGCACCCAAACUCCCUUUGCUAACAAAUUAUUUCUCAUUGAAGGUAGCCCACUGGACCAAGAACGCUCACAAUUGCAAAAUCAAUUUUUGUCCAGCACACGGAGUGACAAGUUUUCUCUUCUUUUAUUCCUGAUUAAGAAAUUAAGACCCUGAUUAAGAAAUUUCAUGCAUCUCCAGUGGGCUUUGGCUUGGCUGGGAGAGCCCCAUGUGUCGGCUGCAGUGAGUGAAGCAAGCAUGGCAUGAGUUUGCCUAAAUGGCCCACGAUCUCAUGGUCUGUGAAGCCUCUGGCACCAAGAAGCAGUGAGUUCAGAUCCAUGCUGGGCCAGUACAAGAGCACUGGGCAGCCACUGGGAACAGAGCGAGUGGGUUCAGGCCAGCCUGCAAACAGCAAAUGUGCCCAGUCCAAGAACUGCUUCACGACUGGGAAAUUUUCUUGCUUGCUGGUGGCCUUGGCAAAGCUGCCCUGCUUUGGAUGGGCUCUAAGGAGUGGAUUAUGUCAGCUUUCUUGCAAGGGGCCCCUGCUGGCCCUACGUGGAGAAAAGGGCACGUAGCAAGAGAUUUGUUAAAGGGUGCUGUGUCCCGGUUCAUUGCUGGGAACGGGGGCAGAGGAGGGAAAGCAAACAGCAUCAGCUCCUCUGCCUGUGCCCUGAGCCAGCAGGACUCAAGGUGCUCGAUCCCCUGCGAACAAGAGUGAUGGGUUGCAGGGUGCAGAGAUGUUAAGCCUCAGAGACGCUGCAGGAUCAGGCCUAGGCUGACCUAGGAUGCAAUGCCCUGCUCUGUGAUGGAUGUCCCAGCUCUGUGGGUUGGGCUCAGACUGAACAUUGCUGUAACUUCGUCUUUGUCGGUUUAAUUUUCUAAUAACAUAUUUAACCGAGCAAUGCAGCCAGACUGGAGCCAUAGCCCAGAACAGCAGUUGGCAUGAAAAACUCUACUGUAUUUCUGACACUAGGGUCUUUUAUAGCCAGGGUAUGAUGGUUUCAGCACCAGUGCAAUUGCAAGUAAGUAUUAAAUAUCCCAAUUAGCGCAAUUCACAGUUAUCGACAACACUGUUUUCUUUCCAACAUUCCCCAAGGACAAGAAAAUGCUCUGUGCAAAUCUGAAAGCUUUGGAAAGAGGAGGUGUGCACCAGUGGGGUGCUGCAGCCCUCACCAUGGGGAGUUUCAGAGCCGAUUUGGGGCUGGGCAGAAGCAACACAUCGGCUUUGUUAGGCAGCCAAGGGAAAAUAGAGUCAACGGCCCUAAUCCCCCACCUGAGAGGGGCAUGUGGAGCAACAGGUACUGAAACUAAUGGCAUUUGUUGGAGUCUCAAACAGCAGAGUGAAGAAAUGAGAAGACAGCGGGCCUGAAGGAGAGAGGUUCACCCAGCAGAAGUCUGCAUCGCUUCAGCAUCUGCACAAGCCUCCAAGCACAGGCGUUUAGCUUGCAUUUCCACCUGCUUUGUGAAGGUGGAAAUGAGAAGAGGAAAGUCUUUGUAGUCAUGAAAUGUUCAAGGGAGGAUCACAGUAUUAAAACCAUGCCUCCAGGUUAGACUGUGAGCCCAGGUGGGUCUGGCUGGUUUGUGUCCCUGCUAAACCCGUGCUGCUAGCUGCACUUUGUGACUGCUGCCCAUGCAGCUAUGUAAAAAUGUCGUUUGCCCAAGCCCAUUUUACUGGUUUGUUCUAGAUUUGUGGAGUAAAAGAAGUAAUAAAUUUCUUCUUAUUUUCUUCUUUCUAGCCUGGUUACCUAACUUCAUUUGCAGUAUAAGGGCAUGAGCCUCCAAAUGCAGGUGUGUGCACUCAGUAAGUACACAAUAUUGGUGGAAUACAGGAUUGACUUCCGAGGAUCAGUGAUUACAAAAUGAUCAUUUUAUCCUAAAUUCUUUAUAUUUUGCUUGUUUUCUUCUUCUUGCUCUGUGAAGCCAGAGAGGGAAACUACACAGCUACAGAAAGAUGUUGGAUUUGAAGAGUUAAAAGAUGACAGUCAAAA